RNAcentral lists this long non-coding RNA (212 nucleotides) under Musa acuminata (dwarf banana). Its description in RNAcentral is "long non-coding RNA (MACU_LNC009149)". Lineage: Eukaryota; Viridiplantae; Streptophyta; Magnoliopsida; Zingiberales; Musaceae. The record is from RNAcentral.
UAAAGAGCCAUUCAUCAUUCGCAACCUCACCACUCACUGCUCCAACCCAUAUUUCAUGGCCAAUUUAAUGUCUUCUCAUCCCGUAUCAUGAGACGGCCGGCCAAGGCUUCAUCUGCAACUCGGCAUGCCCACCUUGUACAGGUUGGCAGAGUAGAAGACCAAGAGACAGUUGGUACCAUAAUAAUUAGUGUCUCCACAUGAUGCUUACCUAA